GUGACUUACUGGUUCAGGCUUUACAAUACAACUCUCUUUUUCUACACUAAAAAACACGGGAGUGCUUUAGACCUCAGGGGCCAGUAUUACAUAUAUGAGGUUCAGUCUGUGCGGGAGGUCGGCAGAUCGGAGAACAAUCGCUAUCUGUUUGAGAUCACAAUGAAAAAUGGGAAGAAGAAAAUGCUGGCUGCAGAUACAGCUGAUGUCAGGCAGGAGUGGAUGGAGCAGCUGUGGAAAGCCAUGCUGCUGAAUGGCCCAGACAGAUCUGGAUCUCUCACCGAUGGGGAGCUGGUGCCAGAUAACAACCCUGAAAUUCGGUCUAGCCGGUGUGAAGAAUCAAAUAAUGAGACCAGCAGCACUUCAGUGGACAGCCUUGAUCAAGAGUCAUUCCAGUCCUUCGCUGUUGCUGAUGAGACACAAGACAGUUUGCACACAGGCAAUGAAAUGGAGCAAAGUACUGAGGAGUUUUUACUGACAGACUGUGACUACGAUGUUUUACCAUCUCUAAAACGUGUGUAUAAUGAUUUUUUUUUCUGGGAAUACUUUUAAAAUAUAUAAUAUGGUAUAUUAACAUAGUAUGGUCACAUGUCUGCAUUUAGGUUUGCCUUGCCUACUGUAUAAUACUGAUUAAUUGGUAAAAUUAUUGUAUAUUGCUUUAAUCUGUUUAAACAAUAAUUGACUGAUGAUGAUUUCUAAUGAUUAAUUGCAGUUGCUGAAGAAGCCAUCUAUGACACUCCCCCUUCCAAAUGGUCAAC
RNAcentral lists this long non-coding RNA (755 nucleotides) under Sinocyclocheilus grahami. RNAcentral describes it as "lncRNA (ENSSGRG00000009890.1)". The record is from RNAcentral. Lineage: Eukaryota; Metazoa; Chordata; Actinopteri; Cypriniformes; Cyprinidae.